CCNGCUGACAAGAGAAUCUGNUUACNGGNCGCNGCAUCCUNNCCGUGNGAAGGUAGCGNAAUCACUUGUUCUUUNNAUGAGGACUAGUAUGAAUGGCACCACGAGGGCUACACUGUCUCCUUUCUUUAAUCAGUGAAUCUAAUCUCCCCGUGAAGAAGCGGGGAUAAACCUAUAAGACGAGAAGACCCUAUGGAGCUUGAGACAAUAUAGCACUUGCUACACAGCAUUUAAAUUUCUGAAUACUUCAAUACACUUGAGCAACAUGACUAUAAGUCUUUGGUUGGGGUGACCGCGGAGCAUAACACAACCUCCAUGUUGNAAGAAUACUAUUCUAAGCCACGAACUACUAUUCUAANCAUCAGCACNCCGACACUAAUUGACCCAAUAUAAUUGGACANCGAACCAAGUUACCCUAGGGAUAACAGCGCAAUCCACCCUCUAGANCCCCUAUCGNCAAGCGGGUUUUCGACCUNGAUGCUCCAUNUGGNUCNCCAANUGAUGNAUGAGCUGANUCNAGNUC
RNAcentral lists this ribosomal RNA (520 nucleotides) under Rhaebo haematiticus (Truando toad). RNAcentral's name for it is "partial 16S ribosomal RNA". It matches the Rfam family "Bacterial large subunit ribosomal RNA", at positions 1901 to 2617 of the family's 2925-position model. Lineage: Eukaryota; Metazoa; Chordata; Amphibia; Anura; Bufonidae. The record is from RNAcentral.